This 1343-nucleotide ribosomal RNA is filed under the name uncultured bacterium. RNAcentral's name for it is "16S ribosomal RNA". It matches the Rfam family "Bacterial small subunit ribosomal RNA", at positions 28 to 1378 of the family's 1533-position model. The record is from RNAcentral.
GACGAACGCUGGCGGCGUGCUUAACACAUGCAAGUCGAACGGAAAGGCCCUGCUUUUGUGGGGUGCUCGAGUGGCGAACGGGUGAGUAACACGUGAGUAACCUGCCCUUGACUUUGGGAUAACUUCAGGAAACUGGGGCUAAUACCGGAUAGGAGCUCCUGCUGCAUGGUGGGGGUUGGAAAGUUUCGGCGGUUGGGGAUGGACUCGCGGCUUAUCAGCUUGUUGGUGGGGUAGUGGCUUACCAAGGCUUUGACGGGUAGCCGGCCUGAGAGGGUGACCGGCCACAUUGGGACUGAGAUACGGCCCAGACUCCUACGGGAGGCAGCAGUGGGGAAUAUUGCACAAUGGGCGGAAGCCUGAUGCAGCAACGCCGCGUGCGGGAUGACGGCCUUCGGGUUGUAAACCGCUUUCGCCUGUGACGAAGCGUGAGUGACGGUAAUGGGUAAAGAAGCACCGGCUAACUACGUGCCAGCAGCCGCGGUGAUACGUAGGGUGCGAGCGUUGUCCGGAUUUAUUGGGCGUAAAGGGCUCGUAGGUGGUUGAUCGCGUCGGAAGUGUAAUCUUGGGGCUUAACCCUGAGCGUGCUUUCGAUACGGGUUGACUUGAGGAAGGUAGGGGAGAAUGGAAUUCCUGGUGGAGCGGUGGAAUGCGCAGAUAUCAGGAGGAACACCAGUGGCGAAGGCGGUUCUCUGGGCCUUUCCUGACGCUGAGGAGCGAAAGCGUGGGGAGCGAACAGGCUUAGAUACCCUGGUAGUCCACGCUGUAAACGGUGGGUACUAGGUGUGGGGUCCAUUCCACGGGUUCCGUGCCGUAGCUAGCGCUUUAAGUACCCCGCCUGGGGAGUACGGCCGCAAGGCUAAAACUCAAAGGAAUUGACGGGGCCCCGCACAAGCGGCGGAGCAUGCGGAUUAAUUCGAUGCAACGCGUAGAACCUUACCUGGGUUUGACAUGGAUCGGGAGUGCUCAGAGAUGGGUGUGCCUCUUUUGGGGUCGGUUCACAGGUGGUGCAUGCCUGUCGUCAGCUCGUGUCGUGAGAUGUUGGGUUAAGUCCCGCAACGAGCGCAACCCUUGUUCACUGUUGCCAGCACGUUAUGGUGGGGACUCAGUGGAGACCGCCGGGGUCAACUCGGAGGAAGGUGGGGAUGACGUCAAGUCAUCAUGCCCCUUAUGUCCAGGGCUUCACGCAUGCUACAAUGGCUGGUACAGAGAGUGGCGAGCCUGUGAGGGUGAGCGAAUCUCGGAAAGCCGGUCUCAGUUCGGAUUGGGGUCUGCAACUCGACCUCAUGAAGUCGGAGUCGCUAGUAGUCGCAGAUCAGCAACGCUGCGGUGAAUACGUUCCCGGG